UGUCACGUCUGUUCGGCGUCCCCGUGCUUCAAAAUGGUGGCAGAGAUGCCUUAACUAAAGCUUGUUGAACCAGCUUUAGUUCAAGUGCCUCUGCCACGAUCUUGAAGUGCAGAGCACUGAACACACAUGACGCUGCGGGCCCUUUAAUUAGAGCAGCAAUCAGAGCUGCUCUAAUUAAAGUGCCCCCCUCAUCCUGGAGCAUGUGUGUAGAUGCCCCAAUAUGCUACCUUCGUGAAGGGGAUCCUUUUCUAUUUUAAACUACUAACAUUUCACAUGGAAAAGCCUGCAAUAAAAAUCUGACUUGUCAUAAUUAGGAACUUGCUCAGCAAUUUAGCAUCACUCUGGGAGGUUAACGCUGACUCUUGGCCACCUUGCUGAGCAUGGGAACUGCUGGGACAGGGGCAGAGGAAAUGAUAAUAUUAGGAGUUAUUUAGCUGGGUCCAGAUAUUAUUCACGUGAAAUUCUGAGGGAGGCCGUAUUAGGUUAGCAUUACAACAUAACAGUGGUAUUUGGGCAUUGGACACAUGGGCUUACACUGGAUGGCAAUUCAGGAUCGAGGGAGGGAAGGGUCGAUGGGACUGCUUCUAAGGGUGUCAGUCAUUUCAGGAUAAGCAGUGUAGUCUCUUGCUUUCAGCUCUGUAGAGCUCAUGUUCAAACCCUGGUGUUGAUCAAAUGUGAUAGAUCAACACCAGGGUAAAUCCUCUGUUGUGUACUGCAGCAUAUCCUUUGUGUUUCCACUGGUGUGUGGUAAAGUCAACUCGCACUGCCUACGGGUCUCUCAUCCCUGGGCUCCAAGAUGCUCCUUGGAGGCUCCACCACAUGUCAGUACCUGGGAGUUAUCUAGGGCAGGCAAGUAAGCCCAUGAGCUUCACUGAAGAAACCCUAGGGAGAGGGUAGCAGGUUGUAGUGAUGACUGUUGCAGGAGCACUACAUUUUGGAAGCUGCAAUAACAACUGCAUAGUUGGUGCAUGGUGCUUGUAUGGAACGAUGCAAGUUUGAUGUAGACAACCCGCAUGCACGGAGGGAAUCAUUCACCCAGAGUGACUGAGUGAUGUGUAAGAGGGGCAGAGAAACCCAAAUGGAGAGCUGCAUUGUGCCACGAAUACUUUACACUGAAUGGGUGGUUUGUCACAUCAACAGGGACUGUGGCUUCUGUUUGUAAUGCAGCACAGAGACAGAGUGGCCCUUCCUGUAAGAUUUUACGCUGUGCUCAAUGAGUCAGUGCUUUCUGAAGUUGAUGUGCGAGGGGGUUUCUGAAUAAAAACUGCUGGCUAGGGGACUUGCUUCUUCUCUGGGCCUUUUGUGGCAUAGACCUUUGCAAUCAGAACCCUGAAUUUACAAAAUGAUACAACCCUGAGGAUAACCCUGCUUUUCACCUGGCUUACAUCUCAUUGUGCAGAGAGCUCUGGGACUUUUGCACAUGAAUUAAAAGGGAAACCAUUGCAAAAUUCUGCAGCCCUUAUUCUGCCCAAACUCCCCUUGAAACAUGGAAGUCACUAGGAGCUUUGCUUGACUUUGGAAUAAAAGUCCAGGCCGCAGCGGGCAUUAGUAGGCAUCGUUAUGCCACAGGCCAGAUCCAUAGCCCGAUGACGUAUGGAGUCAAGCGGAUGGGAUUAUGAGGGCAAUCACAGGACUGAGCCCUGAUUGCAGUGGUGCAAGCAGCUUAUCAUUUCUCAGCCAGUUGUAUAGAUUGUAGAUAUUGGAUAGUAGCAUUACAGUGUUUUUAAUUGUGUGUGUGCAGUCAAGAAGCAAAUCUUACCUGGGGACAGAAACUUUGCAUAUCUCCCUUUCUCCUCCAGAUUCCUGUACCUUCAUCUCUGGGAAGCAUCAUAUUUCCAAACCAUCUAUGCAAAGCAUUUCAUGGAGAUAGUGUAAAUUGCCAUAUAUAAAAUCGCAGGCACUGUAAAUACUAAUCAGGCUUCCCGACCUGAUUGGGUGCAUGUAGGAAUCACAUGCCUUGAGGAAAGGGCCAUUUCCUUGCUUGUAUCCGGGUGGCCUUCCUUGGUGAUUCUAAGGCAGGGGUGCUCAACCUUUCAGCCCCAUGGGCCGGAUGAGGGGUGUGGGCUGAAUCGGACCCCUCAUGCUAGAAUUGGGUCCUGGAGUCCUGCACCACCUCUGCCCACUGGGAUCAGGCCCCAAAGCCUCCUGCCACCCCUGCCGGUCCUGCAUGCUGAGAUUUGGCUCUGAUGGGUCCCAUGUCACCUCUGCUCAUCCCUGUGUACCAGGAUUGUCACACUGCACUCCCAAUUUAGUACACAGGGCAAUGACCUGCGAGGCUCCCCAUGGACCUGUGGGGAACUCUGUGGGCUGGGUGAUAUGGUGCUGGGGGCCAAAUUUAGCCCACAGGUUGAGGAUUGAGCAAACCUGUUCUAAUGGGUUUGGGACAAGGGUGCAAUCUCCCUCCUUUAAAGUCCUCAGGAGGUUUGCAGUUGGCUUCUGUGGGGCAGCAAUAGGGUCUCACAACUGUAAGUUAAAGUUAUAGAUGAAUGGAUAACAUAUCACUGGAAAAACCACGUCAGUAUUAUGCUGUGAUUCUUGUAAUGGGAAUGGGCAAUUCGGCAUAAGCAUGUCUUUGCUUGGUGUUGGAAAAUCAACAGCAGUUACAGUUAGGGAAGUCCUUUCCAGCAACCGUAAGGGAGAGCAGACUGUGCGCUGGUAUGACAGUGCAGGGGUCUGACAUUUCAUGCCUUGCGCACAUCAAAAUCCUAUAGACUGCCCUGCGUAUGUGGGGUACAUUUGGGAUGCAGGCGCGAGACUUACUGGGAAACAUAGGACAUACAAAAACCUGCCUUGAAUGUAUGCAUGGGACUGGAAGCUUGUAAAUAAAUGACAAUGCUACUGAUAUGUCCGAGUUCCCUUUAGAAAGCCAUACAUGUUCUCCAUGUUCAGUUGUUUGGUGAGCUGAUGUGCAUCCUUUUAACACCCCCAGUCACUGUAACAAGUUAGUGCACACCAUGGCUACAAGUUCAUGCAGCCGAUAACCAGAUAACAUGUUGGAUGGAUCUUAAAACUUGCACCCUCUUGGGCUCCUGAGAGGAAUCAAGGCAUUGAAGUCUCUCCACUGCCCCAUAAAGUUUGUAUAUACCAUAAUUAAUACCAACCUUAUUGGUAAGGAACACCCAGGACCAAGCUAGUCCUGUUGGUUGCAUCUCCGGAUCCUGCAGAAGUGCUGCACACGGGAGACCCUGCGACUGAACCUUGCAAGGAAAACUGCUCACUACUGGUGGUGACCUUUGUUUCUUUGCUUAGGGUCUACAUCUUGCAAAACGUAGUAAGGUCUCUUAUCAGAUGGCAGCCUAAGUGAAAUUGUACUGUGUUUGACAGAGACCGUCAAACAAAGGAAAAGAGAGAGGGAAAAAUGCUGGUUCAAUGUCCUCCAUUGUCAUCUGAUAGAAACAAAUAUUCCAAUCCAUUGGAACAAAUGUCUGUCUUCAAGCUAAUGGAUGUGGGCUACUAUUAAAAUAAACUCUGUUCCUGUUUUCUGUUAUGUUUAGGUGGGGGAAAAAAUCAACUUGAUUUAUGCCUACUUGUUAACAACCUCAUGUUCAUGGAUUCUUGGUUUACUAAAAUCUUCCACCUUGUAAUUUUUGCUUAUUGUUUUUGUAGCUGUACUCCAAUUGUGAUAGAAAGCCUAUCAAUUGAUGUAAGCCAUAACUAAAACAGUAAUCAGGGUACUUUUUUUGGUCUGUGUCACUGUGUUUGAAAGACAAUUUAACUCAGUCCAAUAAACCAGUCUAACAGUUUCAUUUUAAAA
Gavialis gangeticus (Gharial) is the source of this 3754-nucleotide long non-coding RNA. RefSeq lists it as uncharacterized. Lineage: Eukaryota; Metazoa; Chordata; Crocodylia; Gavialidae. The record is from RefSeq and is a predicted model, not a curated record. The transcript has 2 exons.